UUGUGUUUGAGUGCAGUAAUCCAAGAGACCCAAUAACAUUGGGUUUAAGCCCAAUACCCUGCAGCCCGAGCUCAACAAAUUCUCCAACUGCCAUGCAAGCAUGAAAUCUCAGCCAUCCAGCCAAUCAUCAACAACCCAUUCCAUGAUCCCCUGCUCCCAUUUCUUUCGCCCGUGAUGCAGAAACAGCUCCCCAUCCCAGCGUAUCACACAUCCCGGCAAGCUCCAUUCCGAACCAUCCCACGGCCAAAGAAGGAAGGCCACAUCCCCAGCUUUUUCCAUUUCCACCGAUCCCUUCCUCCACAUCUUCCUCCCAGCUUCUUCAACCGUGCCAGCAACCGUGCCAACAACGCCCGCGUUCUUCACGCGCUGCCAGCAUCCCAACCGCAUCCCAGCAAGCAUGAUUUCCAGCGAUCUACCAACGCCCAUCAAGCAUCUUCCGGUGAUCCCGCAAGUUCCAGCAUCCUCCCCUCUUCCGGAUUCCAGCCGUGGCAUCCGUCUGAGAUCCCAGGCGCCCAUCAAGCCGUGAUCGGCUCCUCCGGCUUCAGCCCCUCCUCCGCGUCUCAAGCCAUUCCGGAUUCCCAGCAUCCACCGCAUCCCCAGCUCCUUCCAAUCCGAUGAUCUCGAAAUCCCCACCUUCCGCUUCCGUGCUAGCACCGCGUCCGUGAAUGGCGUCCUCCGCGUUCUCCUCCUCGUCCCAGCAACCUCAUUCUUCACGCGGUGAAAAUCUUCCAUAUUCACCGCAUCUCCAAGUGCUAUAAGAAGGGGGCAAGAAGGCAGGCAGGUGCGCUCGGUGGAGGCAAAGAAAUAGGGGAGGAAGGCGUGCUCGGUUGGGGUGGAGGCCAAGAAACAGGGGAGAAAAGGAUUCUCGGCUGGUUCAAAAGGGAGAUGAGGGCUCUGUUUUGAGGAGAGAAAGAAAAAAAGAAACAGAGGAGGAGCUCUGUUUUCCGAGAAGAAGGAAGAAAAAAAAUAAUAUUUUAUUUUUUUAGUGUUCAACCGAGAGGGGUUACUUGUUCCCUUGUUUUCAUUUCCUUUUCUUCUUACUUUUGUAAGCAUUUUUCUUUUUAUGCAAGCUAUUACAUUUUCUUUUAUGCAAUCGGUGCUCUAGGUUUUGUUUAAUCUUUGCACUUUAUUCUGAAAUUCUUAGUUUUAAGAUAACUCUGAAAUUAAUCUUCGCUAUUCGUCUGGUGAUUUUAAUUCAUAUUCUGUCUUUAGAAAUCGACCCCUACUCUGCAUCCAAUUUCAAUUGCAAAGUUUUCUUUCUUCCCUUUGUUUAUUUUCAAUUAGAAAACAUUCAACAUCACCGGCGUAAUGUUUUUCUUUCGUUAUUCAAAAAUCGAUUUCAAAUCCGAGUGAAUGUUUUAAUUUUUAUGCAACUCCAAUCGCCUCCCUGUGGAUCGACCUCUUACGACUGCUAUUCUUCGAGUAGAACAGGUAGAGUAAAUUAAAUUUAAACUUUGUUUGUCGGUUCUAACAACGAUCUGUUUAGCAUAUUUCUAGUUAAACAGGAAUCGGACGAACAGGGAUCACCGAGCCCGAAAUUGACUCUGGAGGGGUGAGUGGGCGCGAUCUUACUUCUGGCCUCCUUCAUGACCUUCGAGAUGGAGGUUGUUGCUACCUUAGGCCAAACUAUCUUGAUGGCCUACUAGCUUGCUGGAGGAGGGACAAUCCAUUUUUUCAGGUCUUACAUCAUCAUUGUGAGGGCUUGCACUUGCUAGACAAGCAUGCCAAGUUGUCCCGCAUCGACAUCCUUAAUGGCCAAUGGAGGAGGCCAGAUCUUAGAGGGCUGUACAAGGAGCUAUUAGACUCUAGUUGAAUAGCUCCUUGGUUGGUAUCAAUAUCAUCCAAUCAUCUAUCUAGCCCCAAACACAGUUAAUGGGCUGGUUAAAAGACAAAAAUACCCUUAUUCUUAACCAACAUAUACAAAUGAAGUGGUACCUUGCUCUAUUUCUAUUCAGCCUCUUCUCUUCCUCUCUUUCUUUGAUGAAGCUAAAACAUGGCCUACUAGGCCUGUUGGCAACAGCCUCCAUAAUAAGGACUCCUUCACCCUGACCAAUUGCUCCUUCUCUAGCAUUACAUACGAUGCGAAUGUCAUCACCCUCGUCAUCUCUUAUGUUAGAUCGAUCCCACUACUUGUUGCUGCUAGAGAUUGGCUAUAUUGACUAGCAAAUGGGCAAUGCUGCAUGGAAGCAAAGGGAAAUUGGAGAUAGUUGGCCUUAGUUUGCCAUUGUUGUGCCACUCUAGCCCAUGAUCUUGUUGUUGUGGAAUUCUACCUUAUCAAGCAAAAUCCUCCCUAGCACCUUCCUUAAUUUGCCUCAAUAUCCAGUGCCCUCCCUUGACUAGCCUCUUCUCCAUUCUUCUUAAGAUACUAGAAAGCAAUGGUGAUCCCACAAAGAAGAUGAAAACCAACACCUUGACCAUGCUGAAAUCCACCCAACGCCUCCUUCUUGUUCUCAUAGCUGGACUCACUAUAGUUGCACAUCACCAGAUUUGAGGAACUUAUUUCCAGUGUCACUGCUAUUCGAGACUAUAAUUGAACACAUGGGGCACCUUACCACCACUCAUGCCAUUCCGGCAAGAGAAGUUGGGGAGGUGAUGGCAAAAUUUAAGUGCUGAAAACUCAAAUUGCUAAUGGCAUGCAGUACAGUGCUCUAUCAUGGAAGUGGAUGAGCUAACAUAUAUGAUCUCACUGAAGAAACCACAGAGGUUGAUGCCGGCAAUGAGGAGGGAGUUGAGCUAGAAGCAGCAGGUGGAGGUUUGACCCUGAGAAAUGUAAUUCUCAAGAUAACAUGGUCUAACCUCACUAACAUUGAUAGUGAUUUGGUUAUUGAUGAUGUGGAUUAGGGUGUCAAGGUUGGUGCCCAACUCCAUAGCAAUGGUGACAUUAUCAGCAUCGAAAGCAAGAAGAGGCCUAAAAAGCCAUUGAACAUUCUAAGGAAGUGGGGUUAGGAGGAAGUUGAGGCCACCAUAAGAGAACGAGUCGAGAGGCAGGUCAAGAAAGUGAAUGUGGUGGCGUUAAAGGAGCACAUUUGGGUUAUACACCACGAUCUAGAAGGGGCACAUGUUGGGAUGAGAGGGUGCAAUGUGGGAUUAGGGGCACAUGUUGGGAUGAGAGCUUGUAAUGUGGGAUCAUAGUGGAGGCAACAAGGGGGUUGUGCUACCUUCAUCUGGUUCUAGUUAGCAAGAGAAAGGUAAAUUAGGAAUAAUAUAAUUGAAGUUAUCAUAUGAUAAUCACAUAAUAACUAAUAUACAACACUUCCUAAUAGAGAUGGAUGGUUGGACCACAUUGUCACAAAAAGGUUUUGAUUGUCAAUUGAAAGUUUUUAAACAUUUGGGGUCAAUGUAUUUUUCAUCAAACUUGAAAGGGUGUCACUGUAUUUUUUCUAAAGUUAAACAAAAUAAACAUGGUCAUUAAAUUAGCUUCUAAAAAUCCUAAACAUUUAAUUUAAUUUUAACUAGAUGAAGGAUUAAUAAUUAAUUUUUCCAAGAAACUUUGAUUGUUUUACUAUAGUACUUAUAAGAUAUUGUAGAGUCAUCUUGAUCAUUCAUUUUAAUAUAGAGGUUGACUCUCUACCCUGAUCAACAAAACUCACUCUAUAUAGCACCAUAACAUUUUCAUCAAACCAUCUCUCCUCUCUCUCUCUCUCUCUCUCUCUC
RNAcentral lists this long non-coding RNA (3654 nucleotides) under Phoenix dactylifera (date palm). RNAcentral describes it as "long non-coding RNA (PDAC_LNC010358)". The record is from RNAcentral. Lineage: Eukaryota; Viridiplantae; Streptophyta; Magnoliopsida; Arecales; Arecaceae.